This 22-nucleotide unclassified non-coding RNA is filed under the name Mus musculus (house mouse). RNAcentral's name for it is "oocyte_clustered_small_RNA7029". The record is from RNAcentral. Lineage: Eukaryota; Metazoa; Chordata; Mammalia; Rodentia; Muridae.
AUCUUCAUUCGCCACCCUGGUC